UGUGAGUCACUCUUUAACAGGGUCUAUGAUAGUUCUAUAAAUUGACUCACUUCUGACUGGUCUCUCUGUGCUGGAAUCAAUUUUCCCGCCAAUUUUAACCAAGUGUUUGUCAUUUGAAUUGCCCUUGCCUCUCUUCAGCAGCAGGCUCCUUGAGUCGCUGAGUAUGAAGGUCAUUCUUGCUUAGGCAGUGGAUCUGUCCAGGUGUUCUUACAUCCAUCUCUCCUCUGUCACUGACUGGGUAGCGAUAGUCAUGCUGUCCCUGAAAGGUCGUGUCAGUGGUUGACAAACUUUGGAUUUUAUCGUAGAUUCUCUGCAUGGUCUUUCUGCAGGGUCCACAAGGGCGUAGGUGGGAGCCUUGAUGGACACUGUGCAGCUCAUAACUGUCCACCCCCAGCUUCUGCUGUUUAGUAGUGCAGUCUCACAGUGUAACCCUCAUUCUGAAUUAAUCAAAUUAGCUCUAUAGGCUAACAUUAAUUUAAAAUACAAAAUAAUUUAAAUAAUUAAAGAAAUAAUAAAAACCAUAAAAACAUAAAACAAAUCAUAAAUCUUUAGUCUAAUAAAAUAAUUAAAAAAUAAAAAUAGUCAUUUAUUAAUAAUGAUAAUAAUAAUUUAAAAUACUAAAUAGGAACCUAAAAUAGACAAAUAAAUAGAAAAAAAUAGACAAAAAAAUAAAUAGUUCAGGGUGAGGGUUAUAGUGUGUGACUGGACUACCAGAGGAUGGGGUGGACACAGUUACGGGCUACACAGUGUCCAUCAUAGCCUCCACCUACAUCCUAUUGGACUCUGCAGAAUGGCCAAGCUGAGGACCUACGGCAAAAUCCAAUGUGCGGCAGCCACCAACAUCAACCUUCACAGAUGGCAUAACCGUCACUACACAGUCAGUGAUAUAGGGGAGAUGGAUGCUUGAGGGCCUGGACAGAUCUAUUACCUGAACAAGGGUGAUCCUCAAGCCUAGCAGUCUGAGGAUGCUGGUACUGAACAAAGGUAACAGCAAGGUGCAUGAUGACAUUUGGCUUGAAGUUGUUGGAGAGUGGAUUCCUUCUCAAACAGAGGAGCCAGUCGGGGAAGUGGUUUAGCAGCUCACUCUGUGGCAGUGUGUGUGAGAGGGUAACACACCGCACGCAUGUCUGGGUUAUAGUGGGUGGAGAAGGGUGUUGCGUAACCCAAGGCCUAGUACUCUCAGCACAUGGUCCUGUCCAAGCUCCUCUAACCCCUUUCCAGUGUAUGAACUCCCAGCAUCAGCACUAGGACCAGAGGACAGGAACGUCGGGGUCUGACCUCUUCAGGUAGUUCAGAGCUUUCCAAAGCCUCGGUAGAAUUGCCUUUUACAGCAGUGGAAAAAAAUGGCUGCUACCAUUCAGAGCUGAGAUUGAGGACUCGUUUUGCAAGGAUGACAAUGUGAGGCCAGCAUCAAUCAAAGUUCAUUUUGUGGCUUACUGUCAUUUGCUGCAGACGAAGAAAAGAAGAUUGCGGAGAUGUCCUACGAAGUAGGGGGUGGUGGUGGGCAAGAAAAACCAUAACAUGCUGACCAGUGGAUGUAUUGCCAGGAUCUUUGGUAGGAGAGUCACUGUCCUCGCAUACGUGCCAGGAUCAUUGGUAGGAGAGUCACUGUCCUCGCAUACGUGCCAGGACCUUUGGUAGGAGAGUCACUGUCAUUGCAUAAGUACCAGGACACAGCUGCACAGGAUGAAGCAAGAGCCACACAUUGUCCUUGGCUGAAGUGAGUAGAGGAGAAGAUCAGGUACUUGGCUCAGGCCAGAAGAAUAAUAACAAAGGUGUCCUCCGAUGAGGGGGGGUGGUGGUGGGCAAGAAAAACUAUACCAUGCUGAACAGUGGACGUACUGCCAGGAUCUUUGGUAGGAGAGUCACUGUCCUCGCAUACGUGCCAGGAUCAUUGGUAGGAGAGUCACUGUCCUCGCAUACGUGCAAGGAUCUUUGGUAGGAGAGUCACUGUCCUCGCAUACGUGCCAGGAUCAUACGUGCCAGCAGAAGGAGCAACAACAGCAGCUGCCACACAGAGAAGACAACUGUGGAGUGCGAGCCUGUUAAAGCAAGAUGGCUCCUCCUGCUCGGUAACUGUAACUGCUAAGUGAUGUCAGCAGCGGUCAAAGUUCACCGGGGCUCAAGAUGUCCGCCAGAAGCGAUGGGAGGGCACCGGGAGCAGCCACACAGCCCAGGCCGGGCCGGAUCAACCCCGACCUGUGCGUCCUUUCCGACGCUGCCGCUGAUUGGACCAGACGUUCACCUGAGGAUAGAGCCAGGAGCACCAGGAGCCGCUGAAUAAAAAUAAAUUAUCGAGAGCACACGGAGAGGAGCAUUAUUUAAGCACCAGUCUUUAUCUUUCCACGAGAAGUUAUGGAUACACGGCUGAGUAUUAAAUGGAGUGAUGACAACAUUGUCUGGAUAGGCAAUGAAAAAGCAGGAGGGAUUAUUUGGCUGCUGAGGGAGAAUGCAAACCAACAGAAUGAAGCCCCCCCCCCCUUCCCAAGUCUUGGAGGCAUCGGUCCCUGGAGGAAACGGCCCUGUGCUGAUUACCUGAAGCAGAUCGUCUCCUCCAUUGUCCUGUGGGCGCUCCUGGGUGAUGAAGGUCAUCAGCUCCUACACGCACUGUUGCCUGGCUGACGAAGAGGAGCAGCCUCCUCCGUCGGCUCCCGCAAGGACACCUCCAGGGUCGGGGUCAGGAUCAGAGAAGACGGGAGAGGACAGUCACAGCGUCGGCACAGCCAGGGCGGGACUGUUGAUGCUGGGGUUUUGUUCACCGGAAAGGGCGGGGGGAGCUUGGGGAGGACCAUGUGCUGACAGGUUCUUAAUCAGGUCCUAUGAUAAUGUUAUGAAUCGGGUCAUAAAGUGAGUGAGUCACUCAUUUAAUCAGACCCUGUGAUAGUGUUAAGUGAGUGAGUGACUUUUUAACAGGCUCUGCAAUAGUGUUAUGAAUCGAGUCACUCUUUAACUGACCCCGUGAUAGUGUUAUAAAGUGAGUGAGUCACUCUUUAACAGGCUCUGUGAUAGUGCUAUAAAGUGAGUGACUCUUUAACAGAGCCUUUAAUCGUAAUAUAAAGUGAGUCACUCUUGAACAGGCCUUUUGAUAUUGUUAUAAAGUGAGUGAGUCAUUAUUUAACGGGCCCUUUGAUAGCGCUAUAAAGUGAGUGAGUCAUUCUUUAACAGGGCCUGUGAUAUUGUUAUAAAGUGAGUCACUCUUUAACAGAGCCUUUAAUCGUAAUAUAAAGUGAGUCACUCUUGAACAGGCCCUUUGAUAUUGUUAUAAAGUGAGUGAGUCAUUCUUUGACAGGGUCUGUGAUAGUGCUAUGAAGUGAGUCACUCUUUAAUGGGUUCUAUGAUAGUUCUAUGAAGUGACUCACUUCUGACUGGUCUCUCUGUUUGUGCUGGAAUCCAUUUUCCCGC
Molecule: long non-coding RNA, 3402 nt
Organism: Anguilla rostrata (American eel)
Lineage: Eukaryota; Metazoa; Chordata; Actinopteri; Anguilliformes; Anguillidae
Exons: 5
Source: RefSeq, a predicted model, not a curated record